GAUGAACGCUGGCGGCGUGCCUAAUACAUGCAAGUCGAGCGAAUGGAUUAAGAGCUUGCUCUUAUGAAGUUAGCGGCGGACGGGUGGGUAACACGUGGGUAACCUGCCCAUAAGACUGGGAUAACUCCGGGAAACCGGGGCUAAUACCGGAUAACAUUUUGAACCGCAUGGUUCGAAAUUGAAAGGCGGCUUCGGCUGUCACUUAUGGAUGGACCCGCGUCGCAUUAGCUAGUUGGUGAGGUAACGGCUCACCAAGGCAACGAUGCGAAGCCGACCUGAGAGGGUGAUCGGCCACACUGGGACUGAGACACGGCCCAGACUCCUACGGGAGGCAGCAGUAGGGAAUCUUCCGCAAUGGACGAAAGUCUGACGGAGCAACGCCGCGUGAGUGAUGAAGGCUUUCGGGUCGUAAAACUCUGUUGUUAGGGAAGAACAAGUGCUAGUUGAAUAAGCUGGCACCUUGACGGUACCUAACCAGAAAGCCACGGCUAACUACGUGCCAGCCGCCGCGGUAA
This 515-nucleotide ribosomal RNA is filed under the name uncultured bacterium. RNAcentral describes it as "partial 16S ribosomal RNA". It matches the Rfam family "Bacterial small subunit ribosomal RNA", at positions 28 to 523 of the family's 1533-position model. The record is from RNAcentral.